CUCAACAAAACUGAAAAUACUAGUAAGCAUAAAAAUUAAAUUGUUGAUAAUAGUUAGGGAUCUCUUGGGAAUUGCCUGAGAAGAAAAAUAUAAUGUUUGGCAUUUAUCUUAUCUAGUUGAUAAAGUGAAACUUGUGAUCUGUAGUAUAUUUUUUCUUAGUUGGACAAAAAUAUUGCUAUGCGUUACAAUUCAGGUGUUGGCUUAUGUUUGAAAACAUCUCUUGUUAUUCUUGAAUAUAUAAUUUGUGAUUUGGCUAGCAAAUUAAACUUGACUUUUUGGCUUUCAGAUGUACCUUGUAUGUGUGUUUUGAAGUAAUUUUAAUUUUUUGUGUUUUUCCAAGGUGGCCAAAAGUGUUCCAUUCUGAAUAAGUGGCUCAGAGUGAUUUUAACUUUUAACAGUUUUAAAAUACACACACAUACAUGUGCACAUAUGUAAAAAAAAGCUUCUAAUGUAAUUCAUUGGUUAUUUGGAUGCUGUGGUUUAAAAAACUUUUUAUGGGCCUUUAAUUUUUGGUGGGGAUGAGUGGGAGAUUAUCAAUUUAUAUGUAGAUCCUUGGGAACUGAUGCUAUGUGUGGUUAAGGGAAGUCUUGGAUGGCAAAGUAUUUUUAGGGUUUUUUAAUUUAAGUUUUAGUUUUUGUUAUUCUAUUUGAUUUUGUUAAUCUAUUUGAUUUCUAGAAAUAAAUUUAUUCAUAAUUUAAACAAAAUAAUUAAAAAGUGUCAUUUUUAUUGGCAGAAAAAUGAAUUAAAUAAAAAAAUUAAAUUGUCCUUCAUAAAAGACCUGCUUAUGUAAUAAAUGUGUUAUUAGAAAACUAGAGACAUUAGUGUAGUGGCUAAGCAAUUACCAUUUACUUAUAUGACCAUGUUGAGGGGGAUGGGAACUAUUCCAUUCUUAGGAUUUUUAAGUUCAUGUGUAGCUAUUUUGUGUCAGGAAUUAUUGGCAGACAUGAGAUUCUUCAUAGAAUUAAAAAAAAGAUUUCUAAGUUGAUACCUUUCUACUUUUUUUAAAAAAAGGUUAUAUUGAUGCCAAUGUGUUUUUUAUACGGAUAUUUCUUUGUAUUCCACUUGAUCCUCACCCCAUUGUCACAAAGAAAAAUUAAGUAAACCUAACUGAUACAGUGAAUAAAUGUUAUAUUUAGUACCUCUACUCACUUUUGAGAAGAAAGAACUGAUUUUAUCAUCUAUUUUUCAGAACCAGUGUUUACUAAAAGUUUCCUUGUCUGUUAUUUUCCAAAAAAGUAAUUAUGGAUAAUAUGAAUACAUAAAUAUUAUGCUUGAGUGUAUUUAUAUAUGCAUAUAUAUAUUUAUAUAUACAUGCACACAGAAACCAGUGUUAUUGAAGCACUUUUAUACGAUUUUUAAUAUUAUAAAUAAUUUAAAAUAUACUUUCAAAGUUUGGUACUGAAUGCAGAACACACCUGAAAUGAUGUUUAUUCUUUAGAAAGUACUUUUUUUUACAUCUAAAAUUUUCUUGUGCUUUCUCCAUGGUCAUAACAGGUUUGAUGACUUAACAAAUGAAUCUUUUCAUUGGUAAUAGCUUACCAUAUUCUUGAUUAUCUCAACUGAAUUACUGGAGAAAAAUGUGCAAAUUUGGCCUUCCAUUUAAGAAAUCAUUGCCACCUUUUCUACAUUACUAAGGUUAUGCUAGCUGAGAUAUACAGUUGUUAUUGAGAUAUUCAACUUAACAAAAGAUUCUAUCUGGGAUUUGAAUAUACCUUGAUUCAAUUUAGAAAGCCCCAUAUUCAAUAGAAGCAGUCUUGAUACACAUCAAGCAUUGUAAACAAUUUCUACAGUAUAUGUUCUCUCAACCUAAUCUAAUUUUAUUUGUAUUUCUGAUGUAAAUAUGAAGCUGAAGAAUUACAUAGCUCAUUCUGUAUCAGUGACUAUUAAUCUUGAAAUAUUAUUCUUUAUAAGGAAUAGAUUCUUUUAAAUAAAAUCCCUUUACAUAAGUUUUUCAGAGCUUGGAAAAAUGAUUACUCUUAACUUUUUAUUGUUCUAUUAUGUAUGUAGAAAUUAGGAUUAUGUUAUUGUUUAACACUUUAUUAACAACAGAUUAUUAUAGCUUCCACUUCAGUACUAGCCUGAGCUUCAUUUCAGGAAGCAUCACUAAAAGGCAUAAAUAUAAAAUAUACAUUAAUAUGAUGUAUAGUGGCUCCACACCAUAAGUUUGCUGAUAGUGGCCAAUGUAUUUCUGUUCAUUAUGUCUAAAUUUAAAGCAAACAAGGCUGAUACUUAUUGAUAUCUAAGAAGUGCUUUAUCAUGUGGGAAAUUUAGCUGGUAUGGAACAGUAAUGUCAUAAAAAAUGCAAAUUACAAUAUUAUAAAUAUAGGGUUUUACAGUUUUCAAAAAUGCUUUUUGGUGUUUGUACAUUUAUUGUUAUUUACUUAUAUAGAAUUGAUCAAAAUUUCUACCAGAGAGUAAAGGUACUAUUCAAGAUAUCUUAUCAUCCUAUUUGUAAUUUAUUUUGUACAACUGAGCCAUAACUAUGGUGGGUAAUUUGGAAUUAGAUCCAGUGAACUAAAUCUGUCUUCACUUUUCCCAUUCCUUCUACCAUCACCCUUUGCCCCGCUAUCUCUUGAAGAGAGGAUAUUUUUCCUGGGAAUGAUUUCUGGUACUUACCUUAGUCAUAAAGAUUAUUAGAUAUGUAUUUUUGUGUAAUUCUAAGCCCAUUUUAUUAUUAAAAUUUUUAAUGAAUGAAACUGUGCAAAAAUGUGUGCACUUCUUAGAACUUUGACAUUUAAAUAAUUUAAUAUUAGUGCUGUGUUCUCUGUAACCUUUGUGUGCUUCUAGAUAAUUUGGAUUUCUUCUCAAAAAUAAGUUCCAGGAUUAUAUUGUACCUUACAAUGUAAUUGUGUUUUCAUUUUCAGUAAUAUUUAAGGGCAUUAUUAUCUGAAAAUAUAUGCUUCACUUUUAAAUGUUGUAUUUAAUGGAGUUUGUGAACUAAACUAGUAGUAGUGACUUCAAAGUAGGAAUAUUGAGAAUUGGGAAUUUGUUUGUUGAACAGAUUAAUUCUAUAUGCAAAUUAAGAUGCAGGUAAAUAAUACGUUUUUGUGAAGUUCUGAUAUUUUAUCAAAAUUUUACUCUAGUUGUAGACUAGUCAAGUUAUAUUUUUUUCAGAUCAUGACUUUAGAAAUUAAGAAAAAUGAAAACUAUAGAACCAUUUUCUAUUUACUACACAGCAGCAAACUAGUCUCACUGUAGCAGUGAUUUUGUAUUAUCACAUGGCUUGUUAGAAAAAUUCACUCUGACUUUUGGUAUUAUAAAUUGAGUAUAGACAUAUGAAUGUCAGAUGUUAUUUUUAAUUACAUUGAAAGCCUAAAAUUUAGCUAAUACUUUUCACUCUCAUUGGUACCAGAUUUGUUCUUCUAAUUUCAACUCUUAAGUAUUGUUCAGGUAUAGUCAUAUUCUUGAGAAAACAAGAGGCAGUUUGGAUUUUCUUUGACAGUUUCUCUGGAUGGUGUCUGUUUUGGUUACAUUAAUCCUCUGUGUGAGAAGUAUAGGAGACAGCAGUUAUGUAUUCAUAUCUAAGUACCACAACUUUUGGGGACACUUAAUAGUUAAGUUUCUAGAGUUUCCUUGAUCUGUAAAAUGGGGAUAUCACUACUUUUUUUUUAAAUUUAAUUUAAAAAUUUUUUGGAAAAUUUUAAUCAGUCAAUGUAGAACAUUAUUCCUGGGUUACAAGAAUCAUAUUCUUUCCCUCAUCUCCCCUAUCUCUUCCCAUAACCAACGCGCAAUUCCACUGGAUUUUAUAUGUAUCCUUGAUCAGAACCUUUUUCCAUGUUGUUGAUGUUUGCACUAGGAUGUUCCUUUAGAGUCUACAUCUCCAAUCAUAUCUCCCUCAACCCAUGGAAUCGAAGCAGUUGUUUUGUUUUUCUUUUGUGUUUCUACUCCCAUAGUCUUCCCUCUGAAUGUGGAUAGCAUUCUUUCUUAUAAAUCCCUCCCAGUUGUUCUGGAUCACUGCAUUGCCAUUAAUGGAGAAGUUCAUUACAAUCGAUUAUACCACAGUGUACCAUUCUCUGUACAAUAUUCUCCUGGUUCUGCUCCUCUCACUCUGCAUCACUUCCUGGAGGUUGUUCCAGUCCCCAUAGAAUUCCUCCACUUUAUUAUUCCUUUGAGCACAAUAGUAUUCCAUCACCAACAUAUACCACAAUUUGUUCAGCCAUCCCCAAUUGAAGGGAAUCCCCUCAUUUUCCAAUUUUUGGCCUCCACAAAGAGCGCAGCUAUGAAUAUUCUUGUACAAGCCUUUUUCCUUAUUAUCUCUUUGGGGUACAAACCCAGCAGUGCUAUGACUGGAUCAAAGUCUUUUGUCGCCCUUUGGGCAUAGUUCCAAAUUGCCCUCCAGAAUGGUUGGAUCAAUUCACAACUCCACCAGCAAUGAAUUAAUGUCCUGACUUUGCCACAUCCCCUCCAGCAUUCAUUACUUUCCUUUGCUGUCAUAUUAGCCAAUCUGCUAGGUAUGAGGUGAUACCUCAGAGUUGUUUUGAUUUGCAUCUCUCUGAUUAUAAGAGAUUUAGAACAUCUUUUCAUGUGCUUAUUGAUAGUUUUGAUUUCUUUAUCUGAAAAUUGCCUAUUCAUGUUCCUUGCCCAUUUAUCAAUUGGAGAAUGGCUUGGUUUUUUGUACAAUCAGUUUAUUAGCUUUUUAUAAAUUUGAGUAAUUAGAUCUUUGUCAGAGGUUUUUGUAAUGAAGAUUUUUUCCCAAUUUGUUGUUUCCCUUCUAAUUUUGGUUUAAUUGGUUUUAUUUACAUCUUGUGAUUUUUUUUUCUAACUCUUGCUUGGUCUUAAAAUCUUUACUUUACCAAAGAUCUGACUAAUUUACUUAUAGUUUCCUUCUUUAUAUUAAAGCCAUUCACCCAUUCUGAGUUUAUCUUGGUGUAGGAUGUGAGAUGUUGAUCCAAAUCUAAACUCUCCCAUACUGUCUUCCAAUUUUCCCAGCAGUUUUUAUCUAGUGGGUUUUGGUCCCAAAAGCUGGGAUCUUUGGUCUUAUCAUAGACUGUCUUGCUGAGGACAUUUACCCCAAGUCUAUUCCACUGAUCCUCCUUUCUGUCUCUUAGCCAGUACCAUAUUGUUUUGAUGAUCACUGCUUUAUAGUAUAGUUUGAGAUCUGGGACUGCUAGGCCACCUUCCUUCACAUUUUUUUUCAUUAUUUCCCUGGAUAUCCUUGAUCUUUUGUUCUUCCAAAUGAACUUUGUUACAUUUUUUUUUUCUAAUUUAGUAAAAAAGUUUUUUGGUAGUUCGAUGGGUAUGGCACUACAUAAGUCAGUAAGUUUGGGUAGGAUGAUCAUUUUUAUUAUGUUAGCUCAUCCUACCCAUGAGCAGUUAAUGUUUUUCCAAUUGUUUAGAUCUAGUUUUAAUAGUGUGGAGAGUGUUUUGUAGUUGUGUUCAUAUAGUUCCUGUGUUUGUCUUGGCAGAUAGAUUCCUAAGUAUUUCAUAUUGUCUCUGGUGAUAUUUAAAUUGAAUUUCUCUUUCCAAUUGUUUCUGCUGAGAUGUCUUGAAGAUAUCUAGAAAUGCUGAUGACUUAUGUGGGUUUGUUUUAUAUCCUGCAACUUUGCUAAAGUUGAUUAUUUCGACUAGCUUUUUAUUUAAGUCUCUAGGAUCCUUUAAAUAUACCAUCAUAUCAUCUGCAAAGAUGGAUAGCUUGGUCUCCUCAUUGACUAUUUUAAUACCUUCAAUUUCUUUUUCUUUAAUCACUACAGCUAAUGUUUCUAGUACAAUGUUAAAAAAUAGAGGUGAUAAUGGGCAUCCUUGUUUUACUCCUGAUCUUAUUGGGAAGGCUUCUAGUUUAUCCCCAUUGCAGAUGAUGUUUGCUGAUGGUUUUAGAUAUAUACUAUUUAUUAUUUUUAGGAAAGGAUCUUCUAUUCCUAGUGUUUUUAAUAGGAAUGUGUUGUAUUUUGUCAAAGGCUUUUUCUGCAUCUAUUGAGAUAAUCCUGUGAUUUUUGUUGGUUUGCUUGUUGAUAUGGUCAAUUAUGUGGAUGGUUUUCCUAAUAUUGAACUAUCCUUGCAUUCCUGGUAUAAAUCCCACCUGAUCAUAAUGAAUAACCCUUGUGAUCACUUGCUGGAGUCUUUUUGCUAGUAUUUUAUUUAAGAUUUUUGCAUCUAUGCUCAUUAAGGAGAUUGUUCUAUAAUUUUAUUUCUCAAUUUUUGACUUGCAUAACUUUGGAAUCAGUACCAUAUUUGUGUCAUAAAAGGAAUUUGGUAGAACUCCUUUGCUUAUUAUGUCAAGUAGUUUGUAUUGUAUUGGGAUUAGUUGUUCUUUGAAUGUUUGAUACAAUUCAUUUGUGAAUCUUUCUGACCCUGGGGAUUUUUUCUUAGGGAGUUCUUUGAUAGCUUGUUCAAUUUCUUUUUCUGAUAUGGGAUUAUUUAAGAAUUCUAUUUCUUCUUCUGUUAAUCUAGGCAAUUUAUAUUUUUGUAAAUGUUCAUCCAUAUCACCAAAUCAUCAUCCAUAUCAUCCAUAAUCACAUAGAUUGCCAUAUUUGUUGCCAUGUAAUUGGGCAUAAUAGUUUUUAAUGAUUGCCUUAAUUUCCUCUUCGUUAAAGGCGAGAUCUCCCUUUUCACCGAUGAUACUGUUAAUUUGUUUUUUUUUCUUUCCUUUUUUUAUUAGAUUGACCAGUACUUUGUCUAUUUUGUUAGUUUUUUCAAAAUAGUCUUAUUUGCUAAUUCAAUUGUUCUUUCACUUUUGAUUUUAUUAAUUUUUAGGAUUUCUAGUUUUCAUCUAGAGAUUUUUAAUUUGUUCUUUUUCAAGUUUUUUUCAUUUGCAUGUCCAAUUCAUUGACCUCUGCCUCCCUAAUUAGUUAAUAUAUGAACUCAAGGAUAGAAAUUUCCCCCUGAGUAAUGAAUGCUUUGGCUGGAUCCCAUAGAUUUUGAAAUGAUGUCUCAUCAUUGUCAUUUUCUUCAAUGAAAUUAUUAAUUGUUUCUAUGAUUUAUUCUUUAACUAGUUUUGGAGAAUCAUAUUGUUUAAUUUCCAAUUAAUUUUUUAUUUGGCUCUCCAUGUACCCUAUUUAUUUAUUAUUUUUAUUGCAUCCUUGUCCUCAGGGAACUCACAGUACUUUAAAAAGGGAGACAACAUGCAAAUAAAUAUAAACAAAGCACGCUAUAUGCAGGAUAAUAACAGGGAAAGCACUAGAAUUAAGAGGUGUUAGGAAAGCCUUCCUUCUGAAGAUGAGAUUUUGGUUGGCACUUAAAGGAAGCCUGAGAAGUCAGUAAGUAGAAUAAAAGAGGGAGAAUGUUCUAGGCCAGGGGGGGAAGCUAGCAAAAAUAUUCAGAGACUAGAGAUGGAGUAUCUUUUUCAUGAAGCAACCAGGAGGUCAGUGUCACUGGAUUGAAGAGUAUAAGGUAGGGAGUAAAGCAUAAGAAGACUGGAAAGGUAGAAAGGAGAUAGAUUAUGAAGGGCUUUGAAUUAAAAAAGCAUUUUGUGUUUGAUCCUAAAGACAAUAGGAAGCCACUGGAGCUUAUUGAAUUAGAGGGUGACAUGAUUUGCCCUGCACAUUAGAAAGUCACUUUGGUAACAGAAUGGUGAAUGGAUUGGAAUGGGGACAGACUUGAGGCAGGCAGACAGCCUUCUCCUCUGCCCCUCAAGCAAGGCUAUGCAAUAAUCUAGGUGUGAACAGUUAAGAGCCUGCAGUAGAGUGGGUGGCAUUGUCAGAGGAGAGAAGGGGACAACAGAUUGGAUAUGAGGAGUGAGAGAUAGUGACCCCUAGGUUGUGAGCCUGAGGGACUGGGAAGAUAAUGAUACUCUUUAUAGUAAUAGAGAAUACAGGUGGUAAGGAAGGCUUAUGGGGACAGAUAAUGAUUUCUCUUUUGGGCAUUUUCAAGUAUGUAUAUUUUUAUUAUGACAACUAUCUUAAAUCAUAUGUAUAUUAAAGCUUGAAGAUAUCUAGUUCAAACUCCUCAUUUUAUUAGAUGAUGUACCAUUCCUGAUGUUAUCCCAAACUUGUUUUGUCCAAAAUGGCUCUCAUUUCUUUCCAACUGGACCUUUUUCUAGACUUUCCAUAUUUGUUGAUGCUACAUUGUGCUGUUAGUCAUGUGGAUUUGCAUCCUUAGAGAUAUCCUUGAAUCUACUUUCUUGAUCUCUUGUCAUUUUGUCAUACUACCUCUCAAUCUCUUUCUCUCCACUCCUAAAACCUAAGGUUUUAGGUUUUUAUCUCUUCUUGUUUUGACUCUAAAACUAGCCUCUUAAGUAGCUUCUCUGCAUCCAGUUUGUCCUUUUGGUAAUUUAUCCUCUAUAUAGCUGACCCAUUGAUUACUGAUAUUCUUUUUUUUUUUUUAUUAAAACCCUUACCUUCUGUCUUGGAAUCAAUACUGUGUAUUGGCUCCAAGGCAGAAGAGUGGUAAGGGCUAGGCAAUGGGUGUCAAGUGACGUGCCCAGGGUCACACAGCUGGGAAGUAUCUGAGGCCAGAUUUGAACCUAGGACCUCCUGUCUCUAGGCCUGGCUCUCAAUCCACUGAGCUACCCAGCUGCCCCCUACUGAGAUUCUUAAUAGACAGUUCUAGUCAUGCCCUCCUACCCUACUUGCUGCCUCUGAAAUGAACAUAAAAUCCUAACCCUGGCUUUUAAAGCCCUCUACAGUAGAGGUGUCAGACAUGUGGAGCUCAACACUCCAAGGUGCACUGGAAUCAGAUUAAAAUUUGAUUGAGAAAUAUUUAAAAAUAAAUACAAAUUCAAUAAAACAUAUUUUAAAACUAAGUCAUUGUGCAGCCCAAAGUUCCUAUUUUACAUUUGAGAUUGAUAUCAUUGCUCUGCACUAAUGGUUUCUACCUAUCUUUUCAUGUUAUUACUCUUCAGGUAAUCUCCAUUGUAGUUAGACUGGCCCAUUAGAUGAUCCCUGUACAGGAUAUUCUAUCUCUUAUCUUUGUGCCUUUGCAUGAAUGGUUCAUCAUGCCUAUAAAGGAUUCUCUCUUGACUUCUAAUAAGAUACCUAAUUAUCCUCAAAGAAUAAUAAUAGUCCAGGUGCUUCCUCUUACAUAUAUCCUUUUUCCUCUAGGUUACUAGGACGUUCUCCAUUCUCAAAUUGUGUUUUUAGUAUUUCAUAUAUACUUUAUAUUCAUAUACUUGUGUUUGAUAUAUCUCCUGUAAUGAUUAGGGGAGACUGAGGCAUGUAGAAAUUAAUUUCUUUCUACAAGGAGUAUUAUAUUUUUAGAGGUUUAUUAAAAGUUAAGGAUUAAAAGAAAAUACAGGAUAAGGAAAAUGUGCCUAGGCCAGGGAGGCCUAGACAAGACCUCACCUACAUUAUGGAAAGAGCCACGUCUGCCCCAAAAUGGAAGUCCAAAAGAGAGAGAGCUCAAAAGCCUUUGCAAUCAGCUUAAGUACCUUCUCGAUCUCGCCCACCUCAGAAUUCCGUGAGAUUACAAAGCAUUUUGGGGAAGUGGAGCAAGGACUUGUGGGGAUUGAAGUCCAGAGUUCAAAUCUCAAUUUUACACUCCUCAAUAGAAGGUAAACUUCUUGAGGGAAAGAGUUAAUUUGUUUUGUAUUUUUAUCCCCAAUACCUAGCCUAGCCUAGUGCUAUUUAUAUAGUAGGCACUUAAUGACUACUUCAGUUGAAUUGAAUUGAGUUGAAAUGAGGAAAAUGAGGCCCAGAAGGAAAAAGAAUGGUUUGUAAUUGCAUACUGCCAAAUUUUUCUCUAAUUCUUGAGGCAAAGGAUUUUAGUAACUACUUAGAAACCAUAUUAUCUCUGGGAAAUUUGAAAAUGUUUUAAUGAGCUCAAAAGAUCAAACAAAAAAUUUAGUAACUCGUUUUUAGCAAAGUUUUUAAAAACACAUCUUAUACUCAUCUUUUGGAUAAGAUGUAGAAAUAUGGAUUAAAUGAUAAUACAGUUAGAUUUAAUACUAUUUGGAUGGUCAGACUCAGAGUUCAUUGUUAGCAUGGCAAGAAUUCUUCAUUGGAGUGUUGCAGGUUCUGUAUCUGGCCCUGUGCUGCUUGAUAUAUUUUGUUAAAGGCAUAGAUAACAUGCUUAUCAAAUUUGUGUCACAAAACUAACUUGCACAUUGCAUGAUAGAGGCAGGAUUCAAAAUAAUUUUGAAAGACUAGAGCAUUGGACUGAAUUAAAUAGAUGUAAUUCAGUACCGAUAAAUGUUAAAUCUCAUAGUUGGGCACAGAAAUCAGUUUCACAAAUACAAGAUGGGGGUGGUAUGGUUACAUAGCUCAAUUAUAAAAAAGACCUGAAAGUUCAAUAUGAGGUAAAAUAGCAGUGUGAUUAUGACAGCUAAAAAUUAAUAUAAUCUUUGGGCUUUGUUAAAUUCAUCAUACAUUCUGAGAAUAGGGAGGUGAUAGUUCAUUGUAGUUAUAGUUAUAGUAUAGAUAGUUCAUUAUCACUCUGCCUUUGUCAGAGCUAAUCUGGAAUAUUGUAUUUAAUUUUGGGUAAGGACAUUGAUAAGCUGGAGAAUGUCCAAAGUAAAGCAGCCAAGGUGAUAAAGGGCCUUGAAUCUAUGUCAUAUGAGGUUUAGCUGAAAGAACUGGGUGUGGGUGGGAUUGUAUUUGUUUUGUUUGGUUCUACAGGAGAAAUUAGGACAGGAGUAAUGGGUAGAAGUUGCAAAGAGGCAAAUUUGGGCUUGAUGUGAUGAAAAACUUGGUAGCAGAGUGAUCUAAAAGUGAAAUUGGGUGCUUUGAGAAGUGAUUGGUUUCUUGGUCUGGAGUUCUUCAAGCAGUCUGAAUUGGGUAUGUUACAAUAGAUAUUUAUUUUGUGUGUGAUUUGAUCUAGGCAGCUGCUGAGAUUCCUUUCAACUCUUAGAUUCUCUUAUUCUUUCAUUUUGUGCAUGAAGAGGAAGAAGGCCCUUAAAUUUCUCUAUAUUUUAACAUUUCAUAAGUAAAUUUAAAUGUCAAAGAAUUUGCUAUGUAAUUCUUUAGAUAAACUAAGAAAGUAAACUCCUCCCUCCCAUCCUGUCAAAAAAAAAAUGCCUAAUACUUCUAGGCCUUAAGUAAGAUACAGUAUUUAUAUAAAAUGUCAAGCUUAAUUUCUAAUAAAGGGUUAUAACAUAGGUAACAAUAUAGUAAAAGAUGAUAGAUGUUGAUAAAAUGGUACAUCAGAAAGAGGUAGUAUUUAGAUCAGGAGUUCUUAAGCUUUUUUGUGCCCAUCUACUUCUUUGGAAGUUUGUUGAAACCUAUGGACUCCAUCUCAGAAUAAUGUUUUUAAAUAUAUAAAAUAAAAUACAUAUGAUUACAAAAGAAACUAAUGCUAGAAAUAAAAUUAUUAAAAGAAUUUUUGAAAGUUCACCUCAGCUUAAGAAUUCCUCAUUUAGGGGGCAGCUGGGUAGCUCAGUGGAUUGAAAGCCAGGCCCAGAGACAGGAGGUCCUGGGUUCAAAUCUGUCCUCAUAUACUUCCUAGCUGUGUGCCCCUGGGCAAGUCACUUAACCCUCAUUACCUAGCCCUAACCACUCUUCUGCCUUGGAACCAAUACUCAAUAUUGAUUCUAAGGUGUAAGGUAAGGGUUAAAAAGAAAAAAAAAGAAUUCCUUAUCUAAAAGUAAGAGAAUAGGCAAUAGCAUAUUUAAUGCAAAGAAGUCAAUGAGUGUGAGGAUUGGAAUAAAACUAUUAGAUACAUUGAUUAAGAGGUCAUAGGUGACUUUCAUAGGAUACUUUAAGUAGAGUUGUCAAAUGGAAAUCAGCUUGAAGGAGGCCAAAUAGAGAGCAGAUGGUGAGAAAGUAGGUUUCAUUGGGGACAGAAAAGUUUUUAGUGAAUAAAAUCCCUUUGAAAAUAUGCUUGACAAAUACAAAUAUGAUAUGUAAAUGAUAAAUGUAAUGGAUUCAGGGAAACUGAUGCAGAGUGAAGUCAUUCAAAUCAAGAGAAGAAUUUACAAAAUAACCACAGUAAUAUAAAGGAAACGACUUUGAAAGACUUCAAAACUGUCAUCAACAGAGUGACCAACUCUGAUUCAGAAGAUUGAUGUUGAAGAAUGCUUUCAACCUCUUAAAAAAGAAUGAGCUAAAACAUUUUCAGACAAAGCCAAUUUAUUGAUUUGUUUGGCUUGAUUAUACUUGUUAUAAAGCAGGGCAUCUGUUGUGUGAGGGUUGAUAAUUUGUAGAUAAUCAUAGCACUGCACUAUUAGCAUUGAUAGUCUUUCUAAAUUCUUCCAUUAAUAUUUAUCACAUGCCCCCUGGUUGUACUUUUCCUAUCCUAGUGUUUCUAACUCACUUCAGGUUUCCAUUCAAACCCCAUUCCACAUUGCUUGUUUUCUUCUCUCCAUUCACCUCAAAUCCUCUUCCUCUUAAUGUCUCAUUUCAGAGCUAUCUAUUUCUUCCACUGUGCUCUCUGGAAUGGCUGCUCUAUAGGCAGCAAACUUGCUUUAAGCUUAAAUCUUUUCCUUUUCUUCUGAUUUUCACUAGAGCAUGACUCUUUCCUGAUAAUACACCUGGGACUACUGCUUUUUCUAAUACUGGCUGCCUUUUCAUUUCCCUGACUCAAUAGUCAAGGAAGGGGAAAUGGAAUUCAUCUUGUUCCUUAUCUCCACUUCCAAGUUCCCCACUGUCACCAUCACUAAGGGACAUUUCAUUUUGAGGUUCAAAAAAUCCAUAUCUACCAUUUAGUCAAAAUCAGGAUAGCUUUUAUCUACAGACCUUCAAGACAUUCUUCUUUCCUCAGAGUUCAGCACCUUUCCCAUGUCCUACCUUCUUAGGAGAAGACUUCAGCAUUCUUAUUAUUACUCUAUCAGUACCGUAAUCUUCCACUUCAUUAAUUUACUCAUUUUCCAUGACCUGCCCCUCCAGUUCAGCUCAGCCACACACAAAGAUAUUCAUACCCUUGAUCUUGUCAUCAGCCAUAAAUGUACUACUAUGAUCAUCAUGAACUCUCAAAUUUCCUUAUCUGAACAUUCCACCUCUUCCUCUACCUUCCCUUACCAAACCCAGUUCUUCAUCCCCACAAUGACCUCUGUCUACUCCCUCAACCCCUUACAGUACAAUUCUUCUAAGUUAUCUCUCCUGUAGUAUCUACAUUAAUCUUUUCUCCUUCUUGACUCCUUAGUGAACUCUCAGCUAUCUUAUCAGUCUUGCUCUGCUAAGCCUUAUUCUUAGUUUAUUCCCACUACAUCUCUGGAGAGGAAAGUCAAAGCUGUGAACAAAGCCAGUAGUCUGGCUCCAGAAGUACCCAUGAGGCUGGGCACUCUUUUCUCUAUCUCUGAGAAGUCGACUGGGCUAGAACUAUGUCUGUUCCCCUGAAAUUUCUCUGGCCAAAAGUGCUACUAGUCUGAGUUCAGAAGGAAUACUGUUUCCAUGGAUACUCUUUUGUGGAAGCAUUUUUUGUAUUAGCACCUUUCCAUCCAAUGCUGUUUACACAAAAGAUCAUCACAAAUAGUGAGUAAACUCUUUUAUCCAAGCAAAAUAGCACAAAGAAAUCAGGAAAGUUUUACAAAUUAGAAUAUAACCAAAAAUAUGCAACUGUGAAUGAAAUCUCAAGCUAUAAAUGAGAUAGUAUCUCAGCUCAAACGGGGAGAGAGCCCAAUCUCAUCAGUGGGAAAGUUAGAGAUAAGCUAGAAAACAGGGACAUUUAUAGGAGCCUUAUAUUCCUUAUUUUAUUCCUUAUUCCUUAUAUUAUUUAUAUAUGUGUGUAUAUGUGCAUAUAUACAUAUAUAUCUGUAUAUACACAUAUUCCCGCUUUCUGUCUCCUAAUGUUUCUGGACUCAUGUCUCUUCCUGAGGAAGCUCUGACACCACCUUAAUAAGUGUCUUAGAUAAGUAUGCAGCAGAGUGCUCACCUUCUAUCAAUCACAUCAUACCUUUGCUUCAAGUAUUCAGCAGUGGCAAAAUGUUCUGCGCUUAAGUGGAAAUCUGAUUUCAGAAUCUUUUAUUCAAUGUGGGUUACCUUUUAAGAGAUUCUGAGAACCUUUAAAAUUUUGUCAUUGCUAGUAGCAAUGUCUUCUUCAUAUAUUUGGCCAGUUUUUUCUACUCUUUCCAAUUUCAUAUUAAAUUCCACUACUACUUCCUUGCAUAAAUUAUAUGGGAUAGUUAUGGUAAAAUAAAGAAUGCACUAGUUCUUUGAUGUCAUCAGUGAAAAUAGAACAAAACAGAAAAAAUAGAAAAUCAUUAGGGCAUCUAUUCCAUUUCACAUAUGUUUUUCUCCAAGAUUUACCUACAUAUGUAUAUUCUUUGGAGCAUUUGUUAGAUCUCAAGCCCAGCUCCCUGAAAUCUUAUGUUCUCUUCAUUUUUUUUCUUGGCUAUUUGAAUUGAUGAGAGACACAAUGAGAGAGGCAAUGUGAUAUUAUAGAUGGAGAGAUAAUCUUAUAGUCUGAAAGACUUGUAUUCUAGGGUUGCCUCUGACACUUACUGGGCACUUAAGCCAUCACUCUUAACCCCUCAGGGCAGGGCUUAGGGCAACUAAGACAAGAAGUUGCAGAGAAAGUGACCUGCACUGGUAGAGGGAAUUUGCUCAUUUUACCUGUACCAGUGAAAUCAGAGGUCUAAUCCUCAUACUUAUCCUUUAUGUGAAAUUCUGUUCUUUGUAGUUUUUUUCAACCUUUAUUUACCUUGUUUUGAAAAUCCGUGUUGUUGCCUACAGAUAUAUCUGAUUGGGUUGGAAAUUAUAUUAACUAUUAGUCUGUAUUCUUUAUGCCUCAUCUUAGUAUCAGUUUUAUUUCUCUAGAAAAUAGUGAUAAUCAGAAGCAAUUUUGGCAAGACAUAGUGGGGUUUCUAUUUUCUAUUCUUUGAGGUUGACUAAACAGUUUGGGUUAGAAUUUCUGUAAUAAAUCACAUAGUUUCUCAUCUUUGUUUUCUUGUAAUUUGGUGUUUUGUUUUGUUUUAAUUAUACAUAUAUACAGCUGACUCAGAAAUGACUCCUGUAAUCAAUCACUUCCUGUCUGUUAAGAACUAUGGAGUUUUGUUUUAAAAUUGAAAAGCAAAACAAAAUUGUUUGAUAUAUUCAUUAUGGUCUUGUAGAAAGUAUUAAUAAAGAGGAGUGAAUUUCAGUGAUUUACAAUUCUUUAGCUUUUUUCAUUUAUUGAUUUGGAACUUCUAAUUUCAAAUGUAGUUUUUGCAUCAUCCUUUGUUUACAUUUUUCAUUGAAGUCACUAAAUAUUGAAAUAUAUUAUGACUUGGUUUGUAACAUCUUUUCAGGUUCUUUGUAGAAUGUCCUUUGCAACAGAUGUUAGUUCAUUAGCUAUAACAAUCUGCAUGAGAUUUUCUUGUUUGUUACUAGUACUGUUACUGCUAGCUUGCCUACUUUAAGUACUUAAGUUUUAUAAAAUGCUUUAAAUGUUAUUUCAUGUAAUUAUAAUAACCUUGUAAGGCAAAUGCCAUUAUUAUUACCUUCUUUUUUAUAGAUGAAGAGACUGAAGGUGAGAGGUUGAGUCAUUUACUUGCUCAAGAGUCACAUAGCUGCAUUAUUGCUUAAGUGGGUUUUAAACUUCUGUUCAAUCCCACUGCUCUAUUUAUAUGUCUCUUUUAUUGUACUUGGUGAUGAGCAUUGUAAUAUGACCAGAUGUUUUCUUAAAUGUUGUUUUUUAGUACACCUUGACAGAUGAUGAAAUCAAUUCUUUUUUCUUUCUUCAUUAUAGUUCUAGAACUAUCAUUUCAUUUUAUUCAACUUCUUUUAUGUUUUUAUUUCAUUUAUAGGAAUAUUGGCAAUAUGAAUGUUAUUGUUUUCAUCUCAUAGAGGGUGAACUCAUUGGCUAUUGAACAAAAAUCUCAUAUUAAGAAUUUCAGCAGUUAAAUUAAUUGUUGUAGUGCACAAAUAGCACAUAAUAAAUUGGCAAUUCCCCCUCUCUUUACUGUUCUGUCUCUUGAGGAGUAGAGGGAACUAUUCAGGACGUUUGGUUAUUGUGUGUUUUUCUCUGGUUCAUAAGUUACUAGAGUCAAAUAAAAUUAUAUUACCUGAAAAUAUAAGGGAGGGGUGAGUAGCUAGGUGGCACAGUGGAUUAGAAUGCUAGGUCUUGUGUUGGGAUGACCUGGAUCCAAAGCUGACCUCUGAUACUUCCUAGCAAUGUUAUCCUGGGCAAGCCUAACCCUUGCUGUUCUUCUGUCUUAUAAAUGAUAUGAAGACAGAAGGCAAGAGUUUUAAAAAAGAUUACCUGGCAGCCAGCAUUCUGGUAAUAACAUCUUAAAUUUGCAUGUUAUAUAAGAACAAAUGAAAUAUAAUUUUUUGUAAUAUAUUUUUCACUUGUUAUUUUAUUAAAUAAUUAGAAGUCUUGGAUAUUUAGUAAUCAACGUUUCUUCACAACCUGUCAGUGAUAUUGUUCACAGAUUGUCUGAAAUAUUGAAAUAGUUUAACACACUUCCAAGAAAGACAAAGUAUUUAGGCAUCUGUUACACUGAGUAAAAAAGUAUGCUGAAAUUCAGAUUCAAUUGUUUGUGGAUAGUUUUUAUACCUUUUAAAUAUACUAAUAAGAAUCAGUCUUAUGUGAGCUCUAAUGAUUAUAGUAGCCUAGACUGGUGUGACUUUUAAAUAUGAACAAAAAUAUGUGUAUGUUUGAUCACAAGUCUAGUGUUCUGGGGCAUUUUGAUCUGAACAGGGAGUUUCUUAAAUACUUUAAAAAACUAUUCCUAUUUUAAAAACCAGGAUGUUAUUCUUUAACAUUAUGAAGCUUUUCAUGGACAGAAGUAUUAGCUGUCUAAUGGUGAAGUAUUAAGGAAAACAUUUUACUUAAAAAUUGGUUCUAUUUAUAUUUAUGUAGCCUUUAUGAGCUCCGGGAGGGCCUUAUCAGUCUCUAGUCUUACUGGCAACUUGGGUUUCCACACUAUAAAUUUACAUUUUUUUUUCAGGAUAUCCUAAGGGUUUGGGGAUAUUUUCCUAAUGCUAAUGCCUUAAAGCCCUUUUCUAGUUUGUUCUCCUAAAAUAUCAAUUGCCAAUUACAAUUUAGCCUUUUCCUUUGUAUUGGUUGACUUAAUGAUUAGCACCUUGGUAUCAUUUAACCAGUUAACACUAAGUAUCUUUUUACUAAUAAAAAGAAUGGAAAAUAUGUUGAUUAUCUCCUAAAGCAUGGCCUCUGAAAUCUCACAAAAUAUUGGCCUGGUUAUCUUCUUCUCUCCCCACCUUUCUCUCAAAGAAGCCCCAGUAGCAGAGGAGAGUUCCAGUAGAUGGCAGCAACAAUUAAGGAGAGAAGUGUGGAGACCUGUGGGAAGCUUAAGCUGAUGUUGGCUAUUAAGGCAAGACAGGAUGGGAUGGUGGAGGCAUUGUCAAGGCGGUUAGAAGGAAGGAAUUAUGAAGGAUAAAAUCCAGGAACAGUAAAGUUCAUAGCAUUUUAUAUUUAUAGCUGGAGUGGACCUUAGAAGCUGUCUAAUACAGUCUGCCAAGAAAUGUAAAGUGAGUAAGUCAGAUCUCCCAUUGAAGUUCUUCAGAUGCUCAUACUGGUGGGUACUAUUAUUUUGAAUGCUUCAAGGUCUAAAACACUGAAGAUCCUCUGAAUGGGAUCCAUAAUAAUAUGAAUUCAGCUGAACUGUCCACAGUUGAAUGUUUAAACUGUGCUAUGCAGUUGGAUGGACAGAUCAAAGAAUUGACCUGUCAUUGUUUCGAGAGCUUUAUGUUAAAAACCCAAGGAUUGUGACAGGUUAUACUUUGCAAGAAUGCAAGACUCAAAAACUUAGCUUAAAAAUAAAGAGAAAUUUAUUAAUUUAGAAGUCAUGUUGAAAUGGCUUGGAGACAGUGUGCAAAGGUAGACACUGCCUUCCUGAGAUGAGGUAAGGGGAUUUUAUGCCCCUUUCACAACAGGGGUUAUAGGAUAAGAAAAAGGGGGGGGGGGAGAGGAGAUCAACUGAUUAGGAAUGAAGUAAUUCAUUGAGGUUGGGAGGUUGGGGUUAAAUUCAAAGGAUGAUUAGAGUAAGUACCUCACAAUGCUAAUCAGAGUGAACCCCUGAAGUUAAUAUCUAUGUUAAUUGAAGAUCUAGAGGAAAGUCCAAAGGGGGAAUGGAUGGAUGCUCCUAGAAGGGAAUUCCUCAUGUCCCUUUUUACCUAGAACACUUCUUUAAUUUGGGGUGUCCAGAGGGAAACCUGUACUCCCAUAUCAGUACAUAUAUCUUCAGUGAUCAUCUCGUUCAGGAUUUAGUAGGAGGAUCGAAUGAAUAAAUUUUGGUUCUCAAGACUAAGAUUCUCUUUCCUUUGAACUUAGCGAUAGAAUCUAAUAUCACUGUUGUCUUUACAAUAGUAGUAUUUUUUUCUAACUAACAUAUAAGUAAACUUUUCCUGAUCCCCAUAGAUGUUAGUGCUUUCUCUUUCCUCAAAAUAUAUUAUAUUUAUUUAGCUGUUUAAACACUGGGAAGUGCAGACUUUCCCCCCUUCGUAGUCUCUGUAUUCCCAAUACCUCAUACAUUGCAUUAAACAAAAUAAAUGCUCAAUGUUGAUAGGAUCAAAGUGUUGUUAUAGGAUGAUUUGUUAGGAGGAUGUACUAACUUUUCUAUUUAUUUUGAUUUAUUAAAUGUUUACGUAUCUCAUUCUUCUGAGUUUUAUCAGUUGCUUUUAUUGUGUUUACUUACACUUGUCAUUUAAAAAAAAUUCCAGUUUUAAUAUUCGAUUUAUUUUCCAUUGUGGUCUCUUAGAUGCUACCAAAAAUGCAUUACAUCUUUACUUGUUUUACAUAGGCAUUUAAAUAAUGCUGAUGAACUAUGCUGAUAAAAUAGACUUUUUAUAUCAUUUAAUUCAAUCCCCUUAAUUUUACAGAUAAGGCAAAUGAAGCCCAUAGAUAUGAAAUGGUUUGCCCAGGGUCAUUUAGCAAAUAAGUGGAAAAGUUGGUGCUUUAAGCCUCAUCUUCCAAUUAAAAAAAAUCUUAAGAUCAUGAUUAUAUGAUUGUAGAUUUUAGACAUUAGAAGUCAUAUAAUCCAACUGCGGCCCAGAGAGGUUGUCACAAAUACAGUGAAUGGCAGGGCCAGGAUUUCAACCUGAGUUAUACUAUAAUUCCAAAUUCUAUUCUUUCCCCUUUGCUUUUUGCUACUUUAAAUGUAUUCUGUUAUGUAGAUAUUUAACCAGAUUUUGAUUGAGAAGCUCAGUAUUCCUUUUAAGUUAAUUUACAUUGUAUUGAUCAUAAUUUCAUCUAUAGACAUUUGAAAAAUAGUAAUAUAUAUUUAUAUUACAUUUUUUAGUCUACAGAAAGUGUUUGGUUUGGUUAUUCAUUAUAUAAUGACUUACUUAGAUUGUUGGAGCUGUUUUGAAAGACUCUUCCAAAGCCAAAGCAGGAAUCUCAACUACUCACUGCAAAUGCCAGGAAGGAAAUGAAUCUCUGGAACCAAUCUCUCCAGAAGCCAGGAAAGGAAUGAAUCUAGACCAUUGUGGUCUCUUUCUUUUAUGCUCCUUUUUUCCAUGUCACUUCCUGUCAUUCCCCCUUCUUCACAGAAAUCAAAGGCAGUCUUUCAGUUUGCUUAGCACGCUAUCACUACCAGGCCAGUAUCUGAAAAGACUUCAAAGAAAGAAGAAAAGGUCUUUUGUGGAGUUAUGUUCCAGAGGAUACCCCCCAACCCCAACAAUAGGUGAAAAUUUGUGAAGUAGUGGUGCUAUGUUUAUUUUAACAUAUAUAUGUAUAUAUAUAUAUAUAUUUUUAAAGCUUUAUAAACCCUCCCACUUUACUAUAAACCUUUUCCACACUCAUUAACCUUUUAAGCACUGAGACAAUCAGCGCCCAGGAUACAGAACACAGAGCUGUGGUUGGUUGCCUUUCAUUUGAUCAACCAGUACAGAAAUGCCUGUUUUGCUUUGUUCUCAGUCGUGUACAAUCUCAUGUGCAAACAGUAGUGGUGGUAUACUGUAUUUCCAUUGUGGACAGUAUGGUAUUCAUCUGCAAAACCCCACGAUAUAGCGAAAACUUCACAAUGCAGAAUUAGAUUUUUUAUUUUAAACCUGUGAUACCACAAUAUAGCAAGGGAUGACUAUGGUUGCUCUUACUUUUGUGUGUGUGUGUGUCAAAAAAUUAGAAUCUAAGAGGAUACCCAUCAAUUGAGAAAUGGCUAUGUAAUAAGUUAUGUGUAUAAAUAUGAUGCUAUUAUGUUUAAGAAAUUAUUUUUUGUUGUGAAAUGCAUUAUAAGAAUUUUUUUAAAUAUGUGAAAAAAUACAAUUAAAAUUACAUUUGUAAUAGUUAAAAUUAAAUUAUGAUGCUGCUAGUAGCUUUAGUAGAUUUAUUACAUCAAAGUUGUGAUAAUAAAGAGAGGGAUAUAAGUAGAGUUGCCUAGCCUACCACCCUAUGUGCCAUUCUGACGGAAUGAAGCUCACCACCACAGGGAUUUCCUCAGGUCCAGUCUCCAGUCAGAAGAGCACAAGAGAGAGAGACCAGAGCCUUGGUCUCGUCUUAUAAACCUUUAUAAUUCACCAUGUCACUUCCUGUCUCUCUGGUUUCUCUUUCCUGUCAUUGUAGGCUGGUCUAUGUGAAAGGGAAUUCUUUAUUCCCUUUAUCUAUGUUGAGUUAACACUCGUAAAAGGGAAUUCUUUAUUCUCUUUGUCUACUUUGAGUUAAUAUUCAGUCAACUCUUUCUUUUAGUACCCCUACUUAUUACCUAGCUAACUAUUAAGUAAAGAGAGCUCCACCCUUUUAACCCAAUUAGUCAGAAAUGUGUGAAUCCCAUGAUAAAAGAGUUUAUACCUUCAGAGGCCUAUAAUAAGAAUUAAUAACUUCAGAGGUGAAAACUGGAUCCCAUAAGACACCGGCUCCCUGGACAGUGUUGGGCAAUUUAGAAGCUGUGAUUGGCCCCUGUGAAGAGGGGAAGGGACAAGAAGCCACUAUAAAAGGCCCUGAAUUUCUGGGGCUAGGAAGUCAGCUUCAAGAAGAAAGUUGACUUCAGGAAGAGUCGACUUCAGGAGUCAUCUUCAGCUCUGGUUAUCUUGACCUGCCUCUUGUAGGGAACUUGGGUCAGUGAAUGCUAGCUGGCUUUCCUUUUCCUGACUUUCCAGAGAGAGUUUAACUUCAGUUGAGAGGGUUAACAAGUUGGGCCUGGCUGAGUUGAGCACUGGAACAAUAUUUAGAGUGAUAGGCUAGACAUCUUCUCUAUUCCUUUUUCUAUUUCUCUACUUUUCCUCUUUCUACCUCUUUUGUAAAUAAAAGCUAUAAAAAGUCAUUUUUAAUUAGAGCUAUAAUAUUUUAAAUCGGCAACCACCAUAUUUAUAAUUUUCAUAUAUUUUAGUCAAACCAUUUAACAUUUAAUUCCUACAUCUAUCACAUCUCAGGAACCAAUCAAAAGCCUCAAUUUGCCUAGCACUGCCCUGGGGGUAAGAGAUAGGGGCAGUACUUGUGUGGUCUUUUAUAGGACUAAGUGUUAAUGACUAAGUAUGAACUGUCUUGUUGGUGUCUUACUAAAUGUUAAGCAGGGGUACUUCAAGUUCCUGAUUAAGUCAAAAAUAGACAAAGGGAAUAAUUGACUUUCACAACUCCCCCUGUGUAUUGGAAGACAAGCACGUUGAAAUCUCCCAGAUUUACAUGCCUACUCUUCCCAAAGAAUCCCUUCAAAUAUAUAGUUUAUGCCUCUAAAGAUCUAGCUAAAUAUAAGAGGGAAAUAAAAGAGAAAGGAAAAAAUAUCAGUGGUUGAUAGGUGCAUUGACAAAAAGCCAAUUAGAGGCAAUCCUGUUUAGCAUAAGAGUUUACAUUCAGAAUAAAAGUGUUCAACCACUUUCAGUUCCAUUCACUACAUCCCAAACUUCAUUCUGGAUCUUCUCAUGCAGUGUAUGGUUUCCUCAGGCUUCUUUAUGGCACUUUCUUCAAAUGAUUCACUUUCUUGAUUCAGGGAGUCAGUGAGCUUCAUUUUCUGAAAUUUCUAUCAAAAAAAAACUUUAAAUAUUAGAUUUUACAAAAAUUAUACACAUUCAUGCAAUCUCAAUUCAUUUACCAAAAAACUAUUUUAUUGAACUAGAAAAAUAAAAUUCAUUUGGAAAAACAAAAAUGAAGAAUAUCAAAGCAAGCAAUGAAAAAAAUUAAUGAAGGUGGUCUAACAAUAUCAAAUUUCAAACUAUAUUAUGCAAUAAUUCCAAAUUUUUGGAAAGAGUUUUUUGGUAAAAAUUGUGUGGAAAACUGGAAAACAGUUUGACAGAAACUAGAUAUUGGCCAAUUCAUAUCUCAAGAUCAAAAUGGAAACAUGACCUACGUAGAUAAAUAAAGGGAGAUGUUAUAACCAAAUUAGAAGAAUAGGGAACUUAUUGCCUAUCAUUUAUAGGUAGAAGAACUUGAGAAUAAACAAGAGAUAGAAAGCAUUGUGAAAUUUAAAACAGAUAACUGAUUACAUUAAAUUGAAACGUUUUGUACAAAUAAAACUAACAUAGCUAAGAUUAGAAGGAAUACUAUAAGUUGGGAAAACAUUUUUAUAUCAAUUUCUUGGACAGAAUUUUCAUAUCUAGAAUAUGUAGAGAACUGUGCCAAAUAUAUGUCAAAUAUGAACCAUUCCCCAAUUGAUAAAUGGUGAAAAGAUAGUAAUAGACAGUUUUUAGAUGAAGAAAUCAAAGCUAUAUAUAAUUAUGAAAAAAUGUUCGAAAUCAUUGAUUAGAGAAAUGCAGUUCAAAUGUUUCAAAUCUAUCAGAUUGGCUAAAAUGAUAAAAGGUCAAAAUGACAAAUAUUUCAGGGGAUGUGGAAAAAUGAGGACACGAAUCCAUUUUUGGUGCAGUGCUGAACUGAUCUAAUCAUUUUGGAGAGCAAUCUGGAAUUAUACUAUUCUCAAAAGAGUUAUAAAUGUGUAUUCCUUUGAUCCAGCAAUACCAUUAUUAGGUUUAUUUCCUAAGGUGAUCAAGGAAAGAGAAAAAGAAACUUAUGUUCUAAAAUAUUUAUAGCAGCCAUUUUUGUGAUGGCAAAGAACUGGAAACUGAAGGGAUGUUCAUCUGUUGGGGAAUUGUUUAACAAAUUGUGGCAUAAGAUUGUAAUGGAAUAUUAUUGUGCUAUAAGAAAUGGCAAACCAGAUGUUCACCAAAAACCCUGGAAAGACUAAUAUGAAGUAAUGCAAAGUGAAGUGAGUAAAAGUAGGAGACUGUUGUAUGUGAUAACAGCAAUAAUAUGUAAUGAUCAAUUGUGAAUGAUUUAAUUAUCAGAAACACAAGGAUCUUGAAUAACUUAAGGGAAUCAUGAUGAAAAAGGAUACCAAUUUAGUACUGAUGUUGUCAUUAUGUUUUGGAGAUAAAAGUUUCUGUAACCCCACCUUCUCUCAUUCUCCUCCCCAUACUGCGGUCAGGAAAAGCCACUCAUUACUAAGCUUUACUUUUGUCUUUUUUUUCUUCUACUUCAUGUGAUUAUUAAUAAAUUUUAUAAAAUAUAAUACUUGGAGUUAAUGGUUAUUAAUUUUAAUCUUAGAAGGGGAGAAAGGAAGAGAAUUUGGCAAUGAAAAUAAAUGAAAAUUGAAUACAAAUAUUUUUUAAAGCCUUGAAAGACUUGCUUGAAAUAAUGCUAAGUGAAGUAAGCAGAACCAAAAUAAUUUUUACAGUAACAACUUUCAAAGCUUUUAGAACUGUAUUCAGUAAAAUGACUGUUCAUGGUUCCAAAAGACUUGUAAUGAAACAUGCUCCCCAUUACAAAGAAGUGAUAGAUUUUAGGUACAUAAUGAGACCUAGAAUGAGAUCUUCAAGAAUUUUUUAUUUUUUUCUUUUCUUCCAAUGAGACAGGGAGGAUAGAGAGAAAAUAGAUUUCUUAAAUUUUUUUUUUAAAGUGUAAUGGAAAAAAUUCUGUAGUUUUGAAAUGUCAUAUGCACUUUCAGAUUAGGUUAAUUGAUUAUGAGUUUUGCUUAACUCUUUGUUACAAGAGAUUUCUAAUGAAUAAUUUGUAAAGUUUUGAAAUGUAAAAAUAACAUUUUGGGUACAAUUUUUUUUUAAAGGAAAGGCUAUAUCUAGUCACACAUGUAUAACCUAGAUCAAAUUACUUACCUUCUUCAAGAGAGGUGAGGAAGGAUGCAGUGAGAAUAUGAAGCUCAAAUUUUUAGAAAAUAAAUAUUAAUAAUUGUUUUUACAUGUAAUUGUGAAAAAUAAAAUAUGUAUUUUUUUAAAAAGGUAUGCUUGAGCUGGACCUUAGAGAAGGAUUUAAACAAAAAUAAAAGAACAGUCCAUUCCAAAUAUGGGGGAUGGCAUUUGCAAAUCCAUGGAAGUGGGUGGGAAGAUAGAAUGAUAUUAGGGAACUGAACAUUUUGCAAGAAUAUAGUUUGUGAAGAAAAAUGCCAUGAAAUCUAUUUAAGUGGCUUCAAGGUAGAUUGUAGGUGGCCUUGAAUGUAGGGCAAAAAGUUUGUAUUUAAUUGAUAGGUGAUAUGGAAUGCCUUUGUCAAAGGUUUGUGUUUUUUUUUUUAAUUUACUGAAUGAUAUAUUCUGAUUUGUGCAUUAGGGACAUUGCUUUAGAGUUGUGUGAAUUUGAAAGGGGGAAGACUGAGGCAGAGAAACUAACUAGUUAGGAGGUUCUUAUAAUAGUUCAUUGUAAAUGGUGACUGGCAGUAUAUAAAAAAAAAGUUAAAAAACAAAUGUCUAAAUGAAGGAGGAAAAAUCUUGACUUAAUAUCUAGUGUUCUAUACCAGGAUUCUGCCAUCUCUAAAAAGAAGUCAGGGAGGUCUCUUGUGUUUUUUGGGUGCUUCAAGUUUGAUCAUUAUAAUUUCAUAGUAUUCAGUUUUUAUUGUUGUUCUUGGUUCCAACUAUUUAUAUUUUAGCCAUUGUGUACAUUGUUUUCUUGGAUCUAGUUUAUUUCACUUUGUAUCAAUUUAUCUAAGUCUAUGCUUCUCAGGAUUAAUCAUGUUUCUCAAAAUUUACUUUAAAAUAAAUAGUAUAUCUAGUUGUAGUGAUAAGAAGCAUCCUAACUUUAUUCCUAAUCUUAUUGUAAAUGCCUCUACUUUAUUCUAUUUACACAUAAUGAUGGCCUUGGUUUUAAUCCGAUAUUACUUAUAUUAAGGAAAAAUUAAUUUAAUCCUAUUUUUCUUGUGUUUUUAAUAAGACUUUGUGCUUUAUCUUGACAGGAAUAUCUGUUGAUAUAGUCAUAUGAAGUUAGUUCAUUUAAAUAUGGUCAUUUGUGAAUUUUCCCCAAUAUCGAACUUACUCCUUUAUUUCUGGUAUAAAUCUUAGUGCAUAAUUUUUGUAACUUGUUGCUUCAGUCUCUUUAUUAGUACUUUAUUGACAAUUUUUGUGUCAAUGUUCAUUUAGGUUAUUGUCUAACCUUGUUUCUCUAUUUUGACUAUUGUUUUUAGGUAUUAAGACUAUAUUUGUGUUUUUUCCCCAAAUAAUUAAUAUUCAAAUUAAUUACUAUUUGAAUGUUUGAUAUAAUUUACUGUUCAAUUUAUUAAAUGCUUUGUUAAUUAUCUUUUUGUGGGGUGAGGGAGAAGUUCAUUUAUGAUGUUUUCAUUUACUGAAUUCUGUAUCAUUUUUGAUACUAGUAAAUUGCUUUUCCUCUUUCAUUUAAAAAAAAUCAAAUUAGCUAAUAGUCUAUCAAAAACCUUCUUUCUCCCCCUCUCUCCUUUAACCUCCCUCACUCAACUUUUGUUUUACUUAUUAAUUCAAAGGUCUUUUUUUUAAAUUUUGGUAAUUUUGGGGGGGUUUUCAGAAUAUUCAUUGAUGUUUAAUUGUAGUUUUAAAAAAUCUAUUGGCUUUCUCGUUUAUGAUCAAUUAAUUGAUUUUUUUCUUUUGUGGAUGAAAAUGUUUAGAGAGAAAAAUUUUAUUGUAUGGAAUUUUUGAUUGCAUCAUCAAUAUUUUGAUAUGUAGUCUCAUUAUCAUCAAUAUCUUUAGUGAUAUUAUUUCUUGUUUCUGUGAUUUGUUGUUUGAUCUACCACUUCUGUAGGUCUUCAUUUAAUUUUUAAUCCUUUCUUUAGCAGGCCUUUAUUAACUAAUUUAUAUUUCAUUAAGUUCAAUAAACACUGUGUUGAAUAUUUCUGCUUUUUUUCAUUUAUUUGAGAUGCAUUUAUGCCCUAACAUGAGCAAUUUUUGUGAAAGUGCCAUUCACAUAUGUACGUAUUUCUGUUUAUACCCAUUUAUUAAUAGCUAGUAGUUGAUAUGUUGCUUUUAAAAAUUCAGUUUUUUAAAGGUAUUUUUUUUUAAUAGAUUUCUCUAAAUCUGAAAGAGGUACAUUAGGACCUCUUCUGUUACAUUUUUACUCUCUAAUAUUUCUCUAACUCAUUUUACAUUUACUUUAGGUUAUUUAGUGCUAUGCCAUUUGAUGUAUAUAUGUUAUGUUUUAGUAUAAAUUCACUGUCUAUGUGACCUUACAGCAUAAUGUAGUUUCUCCAUUUCUUUUAAUCAAAUGCGUUUUUGCUUUGUUUUGUUUGCGAACAUGAUUGCUAUCACCUGCCUUUUGAAUUCAUUUAAAGCAUAAUAGAUACUUUUCUAGCACUUUAACUUUAUGUGAAUUUGUAUUGCAAGCAACAUAUUGUUGGGGUUUUUUUGGAAUUAAUUCUGCUUUUCUUUUUUUUUAUCAGCUAAUUUGCAUUCAAUUCUGUUAUUACUUUCUUUUAUCCUGUACUCUUAUGCUUUUUACUCUUUGCUUUCCAUACUUCACAAAAAAUGUGCUAGUGCUUUAUUUUCAAAGCAUUCUGGAAAAGUCAGUCACUGUGUUUUCCCUUUACAACCCUCCCCCCCUUUUUUAGUUUUUUUUUGAGUUGUCAUAUGGAAAAGCUGGACUGUAGUUUUUCCUCCUACUCUACCAUCUUUUGUUAGUCUCCGAGUUGUGUUUUCUAGUAUAAUCAAGCCAUAUUUAGAGUAUAUGUGUCUAAACAUAUUUAAAUAAUUUGACCACUUAUGAUUAUGUGGACUUUUUAUCUUGCAUUUUCUUUUAUGAUACCUUAUGGGUAAUAGCUUUGAUUUGAUAGCUAUUCUGUGAUAGGGAGUGUAACAUGACAUUUUGCUUUCUGAUGUUAUUUCCAGAAAUGCAUUAAACUAUAAAAGUAGAGAUUGCCCGAAUUCUGAUGUAUCUUUACACAUAACCAAAUCUUUAUAGUAUAUAUACAGUCUGCCUUCUAGAGUGCUUUACAAAUCUUGAAUUGCUAUAUGUCUGCCAUGAUUAUUAACUUUAUUAUUACAAAUAGCAAUAAGAUGUGCAUUUAUUUUUGAACUGCAAAGAAUGCAAUGUUGUUUUUAUUAUGCAUGCAGCCAAAAUAUUUUUUUUCAGGAACAUAUUUUCAAAAUUUUAAUGAAAUGUAAUGGUAGGGUAAUCGGUAAAACCUGCCCUUGAUUAUUCAUACUGGUGGAGAGAAGAUCAUUUCCAGAUGAAUUCUGUUCUUUGUCUUGUGCUUUACUAAUUACAUUUCAUUAUAGGUGUGUCUGAGGUUCUGGGGUUACUUGUUUAACUAAAUCCUGAAAUUACUGGUGAGGACUCAGUGUACACUACAGUAUUUGGAGUUGAAGCAACAUAAGUUUGCAUUUAACUUCUCUGGUCCUUUCUUUUCUGAUCUGUAAAAUGUGGGGAUUAAAUUAGAUGACCCUGAGGGUCCCUUCUAUUUUCAAAUCUUUGAUCCAAUGAUCUGAUCUUUUAAGGAUCUUUGAGGCACCUUUCUCCAUAAAGAACCCCUUCUUUUACUUUUUCAAGAAUUCGCUCCACAUAGGCUGUACUAAACAAUUCUCCUCUGGAAAGAACAAAGGAAAUGCUUAAGGAAUUGGUUUAAAAGUAAUUCUCCUUAUGAUUUUUUUUAAUUGGCUAUAAAUCUAUAUUAAUGUUUUAAAAGGAAAGGAAACAAUGCCAAGUAGUUCUUUAAAGAACAGCUUAUGUGUAAUAACAUUUAUUGCAGUUUUCUUUUUUAUUUUCCUUAAGCUUUGUUAUAUGAAACUCAUGGUUUUAUUUGUUUUUUGGAAAAUAGAUUGUUUUUUUUUUAAAUCCACCCUAAUCCUUCAUUUAUAAUAUAGAAGUUUCUUCUAGAGUUAAAAGACAAUUCAAGAAGAACUUGUAAUUACUACCACUACUUCUCAGAACUUUAGUGUUGAUACCUUUUCAACCUAACUGCUUUUUUUUCUCUUGGCAGUCUAUUGAAACUGGAAGCCUGCUAAAAAUAAUCUUUUUUUAAAAUUACUAUUAUUGUUAUUCUGGACCUGUGAUUUUAUCUCUGUAGGAAAACUACUUCUGUCAUUGUAGAUAAGCAAGUGUCUGCACCUUCCCUUUUUAAAGUGCUGCUGCCCAAGGGCACUGAGAGCUUAAAUAACCUAUCCAAAGUCACUUGUGAAUUGUAAAAAUAGUCAUAUGUUUGAGUCACUCCCCUGAUUUGCUGAUUUAGUUAACUUGUCAACAAAAGGAACUAUUCAUGUGGCCUGGCCUUUCUGUGAUGUAAUGGUUAUAGUUAUGAUCCUUUUGAUCAGUUUCUUUUGUUAGACAAUCAGAUCAAACCACCCUUUUUAAUAGUACAUUCUUGAGUUUUGACUAGAAUUCAAGUUAAGCUCACUGGCAUAGAGUUUGCAGACUACAUUCUCUUCCCUUUUUGGUGGUGGUGGUGGGGAAUGCCAAAAUUUCUUCAUGAUCUUUGAUCACUGUUAGUUUACUCAUCAAUCAUUUCGUUCCAUUCUUUCUAACUCCUUCAGAAAUAAUUUCCUGAUGUUUGGAAUCAUCAUGGAUACCUAAAGUAGGCUCUUACUCUGUCUGUAUUUAUACUAGAGAUAAAUUAUCUGUUUUUGUUUUUCCUAGUUCAAAGAUCAUUGUCCUUGUCAAAAAAAAAACAAAAAACAAAGCAAUACAGAAUUGAAUAUCUCUGUCUUCAGUCUUCUGUUUUCUUUGUUCUGUGACCCACCAUCUUUCCUUUCACCUCCAACAGCAGUAUCUUAUUUCCUCUAACACCUUUUCUCCAAUACUCCAAAUACUCAAAUAGAUCUGUGAACUGAUGGAUUUGGAAGUUUCUGGUUAGGAUGCAGAUUGCAAUCCACCCAUGACUAUCUAGGCAGUCUAGUUCUUAUCCAUGUUGGACUAUUAAGUUUGUCACAGAGAAGGGAAGGAAGGAUGAUUUAUUAAAUACCUACUAUGUCUUAGACACUAUGCUAAGCAUUUUGCAAUAUCAUUUGAUUCUCACAAUAACCCUGGAAGUUGUUGCUUUUAUUAUCCCCAUUUCAUAGUUGAAGAAACUUGAGGUUAAUUGACUUGUCCAGGGUCACUCAGCUAGUACAUAGCUGAGACUGGAUCUGUUCUUGAGUCUUUCUGAUAUCAGGCUUAGUGCUAGUCAUUGUGCUACCUAGCUAUCUAGUGUCUAUCCACUUUGCUAGAGGCCUUCCUCACUUUUUUCUUAUAUCUCAAGGAUACUAAUGCAAUACUUGGACUGUCUACUCAUCAUCCUUCAGUUCUGUCAUAUGAUCUAUAUAUCUUCUAAUUUUAUUAUACAUCUUCUAAUUUUAUUAUACAUUUCUCUGAUGACAUAUCUGAACUCCUUCAAAGCUCUUCAAAAUUCUUCAUUGGUUGUGUAUUGCAGAUUUUUUUAUAGUUUUCAUUGCUUUAUAUAUGAUAUUCAUUUUUAGUUUUUGGUAGAAUGGUAUUCCACAUCCACAGUAAUACCAGUAGUAUAUUGAUAUUAAAAUGAUGGGGCAUUUGCUCUCUUGUGAAGUUCAGGAGUCAGGUCCUUCUUUUCAACUCAGCUCAAACUCAUUUUCCAUCCAUAUUGCUUCUUCAAAAUACACAUGCUGCUAGAUAAAUAAAGGUUGUUAUUUAGGCAAUAAGAAAUCUUCAUCCAUUUGGUCUUUCUUAUGUGAGUGGUCAUAUCCAACUCUUUUGGGUGAUGAGAUAUCUCUUCUGGAAACUGCAGUGAUCCAAGAUUUGAUACAAUCAGCAUAGUGUCAUCCAUAAAGGGAAGCCUUUGGAUGACUUCACCAUCCACAGGGAAAGUGUAAUCUUCAGGCAUAAUGAUAAAUACUUCUGGUAAGCAUAAUUCAAAAAAUCAGUCAGGAUACUUUAAAACAUUUACAGAGAUAAUCUUGUUAAAUGAUCCUCAGAUUAUAGUUAGUAGAUGAAGAAUAAGGCUGGAUAUCAUCUUGCUUAAGAAUCGGUCAUGUAGCAUUUUGCAGUAUUGAAUGAAAUAUUUUUUCAUAAUUAAGAGAAAUAUAUUAGAAUUUUCAGUUAAUUUUGAAAUGGUAAACGUCAGUAAUUGGUAAUACACAAAAUGUAUUUUUCUCUUCUGUAAAUGAAUUAUGAGGUUACAAGUCAUACAUUUUUACCAGACUUAAGUUUUUAUUUUUAAUAAUUUGUAGAGUUUUGAAUAAAAAGGGCCCAACUCUGUCUCUCUAGGCCUCUAUCUCUCAUAUCUUUUAUCAUCAGAUGAUUUAAGAUAAUCUUAAGUUAUUAAAAUGGUAUCUGACUUCAAACUUUUAGUGCUGUUUUAAGCUUUGGUAGCUGUGUAUAACCUUCACUAGCUUAAAACUGCACUAAAAAUUUUGGGAUACCCUUUAUGUGUAAUAUUUCAAGACAUUUUGUGCUUCUCUGAGGAAAAAGAAUGCUUUCUACAAACAAUGGGAAAAUAACCAGUGUGUUAUGAUAUAUAAUAGUUUAUAAAUGGUUUUUAAAAAUAAACCUUUUUUUUUUUUGAUCUGGACCUGAGAAUUCAUCCAUGCCAGAAGACUCCAUUGUGUAAACUUUCCUCACAUGUGUAGAUGGGCAAAUUAUGCAUAACCUGUAUAUUGACCUGCAUGUAGAGUUACUUGGUUUAUUCAGAAGGUAAGUGAUUUGCCCACCUAUUAGGCAUAAGAUUUUGAAAUUGAACCCAGAUCUUUCUCUCAGGCUGCUUCUGGGAUAUAGCCAUUACCAAAUGAAUUUAAAUCUUCUUUAAAAGGAAAGAAUAAUCUUAGUGCUUACAUAAAUAAUUUUUCAUCAUUGCUCAUACAAGAACAGUGAAAAUUCCCUGGUACAGUAAACAAUUUUUUAAAAAACUGUUGGCAGAACUAAUAGAUCUGAUAGUCCUUGACUCUUAUGUUUUAAGACUUGAGUUUCCUUAAAUUUUUUGCAGUUGGAGAAUAAGCAUUUUUUAAUCUGGUGAGAGAUUUAUUCUGAUUUUUAGUCUUUGUAAACAAAGACACGACAAAUUUGCUAAAAAUAUAUUUUAUAGUGUUCAUUAGUACUACUUUUGAAAAAAUCUUGUGGUUUCCUUACAAGUACACAAAAUUAUAAAAUGAGUAUAAGCUUUAUUAGCUGAUAAACAUGUUGAUUCAUUUGGCUCAAAGCUCUUGAAUGGAGCCAAAGGGGCACAGAUUGUUCUUUACCCCACCCAGUGGUAGAAUGUUUUUCUUCCUUUCCUUCUCCUUGAGGGAAGUGAACUGGAACAAGUGACUCCUCUCCUUUAAUCUAUUUUCAAGAAUGCUUAGGAGGAAAAAAGGAGAACAAUUUCUCACUUUCCUACUUCUUUCAUCUCUUCUUUGUGGGUCAUGAGAUAAGGAACACAGAUUUUAUAUAACAAUAUUGGAAAAACUUUGUAGGGCUUUAUGGAAAAAAAGGAUAAUGUACAAUGGCAUAAUGGUGACUUGGCUGCCACUUACUUUCCACAUUUCUAUUCUAUAAGAUAUACCUACAUGCUGACUUUGGGAAGUGGAUUUUAAAUCCCAUAAUCUAGGGUUCUACCGGGCAAGUUGACUCAAGUUAGGAUAUUUUAAAGAAUAAAUUCUAAUAACACAAACAUUCUUAGAAAUGUUUGAGGAGAGGUAUGUAUAGGUGUACAUGGAUUAGAACAACUAAGAUUUUAAAAGGACGUUUCCUGAAGGGAUAGGGUGAAUAACUGAGAAGCAGUAAAAUAUAGUUACCAUGGUCUUUGACCUACAAUAAGCUGGAACUUAACAGUAAUGCUUCUUUGAUAUUUAAUGGAUCCAUGAUCUCAUAAAUUUUGUCAUCUUAUGUUGUAUAGUUUUUGUUUGUGUUCUAUAAAUCUUUCAGAGAAAAUCUACCCAAUAUGUUGGAGGCCUUUCUUUUGGACUUCUAAUUUUGUUAAUCUCAACUCAGUAUUUAGGUUGACUGUUAUUUCUUUCUUUGCUAUGACAGACUUUCUUUAUUUUCUAAGGAAUAUCUCUUGGGUGAUAUAGUAGUUAAAUUAGUCUUUGCAGAUAGGCUGAAAAAUAGUGAUUUCUUUUGUGUUCUCUUUUUGAAUACUCCUGUCACUGUCAUAUUGUAUAUAGUUAUUUACAUGUCAUUUUUACUCUUAUAAUGUGAGCUCCUUGCAGGCAGGCACCUUGUUUUUACCUUUCUUUUUCAUCACAAGUGCUUGGUAUAGCAUGAGACACAUAUUAAGGCUUAAAUGUCACCUGACUAACUCAGCUAACAAUGUUUUUUCCUAAAGUUUAAGGUCUGAUCAUGUCACUAUGCAGUAAGUUCAAGUGGCUACUUGGUAAAUUCCAGUUACUUUGAGGACUAUAAAGUCCUCCAUUUGGCAUUUAAAAUUCUUUACAACUUGACCUUUUACUACCUUUCUAAUUGUGAGAGGACCAUGGUUCCAUUUCCCUACAAUAGAGAUAAAAAACAAACUAACAAAAAACCAACAAAAUUGUUCUUGGCACUUGCUUGACCCUUACCUUCCUUGAUGUGGCUUUUUGGUCAUUUGAAGGUAUAAAAGAUCCCUGGAUCUCUCAGACUUAGUGGACUUCUGAGGACUGUUUAGAUUAAAAUUUAGUUUUCAUGCUAAAAGUAUUAUAUUUUUAUGAGGUUUAUUAAAGAUUAAGAAAUAAAGAAAAUGCAAAAUAAGAAAGCACGUGCCUAGGAGGGCAGAAAGGCCCAUUCAAUUUCACUUAUACUACAUCUUGAGAGAUGCGUGUGCUUGGAAGCGGAGGCAGGGAGAGAGAGAGAGCCAAAGUAGGUGGAGGGUCAGCUUAAAUACAAUUUCUGUUCUCGGCCCAGGUGAGGAACUCACCUGGGAUUAUGGGGAACUCUGGGAGCUACCAAGGACUUCUGGGAAUUGAAGUCCGGGGUCCAAAUCUCCAUUUUAAUAGGACCAUCAUAAUCUGCCCUGUUCAUCACAUACAAACAAGUGUUUUUAUAUAUGGAAAUAAGAGAGGUUCUGUGUACAGAGAAGCUAAAUGGUAACGUUUCCUUGUUGAAUAUCAUUGCUGUGUUAGGGCAAACCAUACCUCCUUUCUUAAUCGUUCAGUGAUUUUUGCAUCUGUCAUUUUAACCUAAUAGUGAAUGUGAAUUAAGAGAGUGCUAGCAUUAGGCCUAUCUCCAACAUCAGUCUUCUUGUUCUACUAGGUUCCUCUCUUUGUACUCUUUAUAAUACAAUUGCACUCAUGUUUUUGCUGUUUCUCACAUAGAGCAUUCCUGUCUAUUGUCACUAUGCCAUUGUAUUGGAUGUUCACCAUGCCUCGAUUUCUUCCCCUUUUUUAUGUGUUUUUUAAUUUUUUCAUUUAAAAUUUUGAAUUACUAAUUCUCUCCUACUCUCCCAACUUUCCCCUACAUAUUGAGAAAACAUAGUAUGAUACCUGUUGUUUGUGUGAAGUCAUGCAAAAUGUAUUUCUGUAUUAGCCAUAUUUCAAAGAAGGAAGCUACAAAGAAAAACAAAGUGAAAGAAAAAUAUGCUUCUCUCUACCCUCAGUUAAUCAGUUCUCUCUGGAUAUGGACAGCAUUUUUUUUUCAUAAUGAUUCUGACAAUGAGAAUUGUUGUGGAUCAUUGUAUUGAUUGGAGCUCAGUUUUUUCCUGGUUCUCUGCUCACUUUACUUUUUGUUAUUUCAUGUCUUCCCAGGUCUUUCUGAAACCACCUCUCCUGUUAUUUCAUACACCACAAUAGCAUUUCAUCACAACCAUAUAUCACAACUUUGUUUAACUAUUCCGUAGUUGAUGGACAUCUCUCUAAAUUUCCAACUCUUUGCCACUACAAAAACUCUUGUUAUAAAUUUUUUUUUUACAUUUGGGUCCUUUUCUCUUCCACCUUCUCCAGGAGGCUUUGCAGAUCUCCUUGGUUCUAGUACCUUUCUCUUCCAGAUUAUCUUCCUUCAGUGCGUAAUAUGAACCUAGUGUUUUUUUUUUUUAAUAUGCUAUCUUCCCCAUUAGCAUAUGAACUCCUUUGGGGCAGGGACAUCUUUUUCCUGUUUCAUCUUCUUUAAAUUGGUUAUUUCCCUGGUUGUCUCCAUAUUAGGCAUCCAUACCUAUUGAUAAUAAAGAAUUACUAAGUUCUUUAUCUAAAAGUAUAUCACUGAACCCAGGAUACUUGAGGAAGAGAGUGACUAUUUUACCUGUAGGUAGUGAACUAUGCAGGUAGACCACGGCAUUUCCAAGUCAUCAUUUUCUGUUACAUGGCUAAAUUCCUCUUAAACUGUCUACCGCUUGUCAGGAGGGAUGUGGCUUAAUGUAAAAGUUAAACUGGGUCUUUACGACUGUUAAACCAGUUCUAAUUGAUGUGAGGAUAAUUUAGGGUUGUGACAUAAUCUAAAUUUGAUUUUUGGUCCCCAGGGGAUAUCCCAAAUAAAAUACCCAAGUCAGUUUGGAAAUAUAUGGUGGUUUAAUUAAUCAAUAUAUAGGGAAGAAAUCAAGGAGAAAAGACAAGGAAAAGGUAUAGGAUUUCUCCCACCCAGCCUGUGCCAGGUGAGUUCAAAGUCCUCCGCCACAAGAUGCUUGAAGAUUAGAGACAUUCUCUAAGAGGAUAGUAUUUGGAAGGUAAAGGAGAGAAAAUCAGCCUAAACUCCAAGAGAUCUGAGAAGAGCCUCACCGAACUAGGUUACUAGGCUUCCUCCAGUAUGGUAUCAAGGAAAACUCACUGCUAAACCUGGACAAUAGCAGUUGACAUGCUCAACAAGCUGGUGCCAGCCACCUCUCCUCUGUCAAAGAGGCCAGAAAGAGGAAGUGAUGUGAUAUGUAGAUAGUUUUACAUCACUUUCCUGCAUCUCACAUGUACCAGUGAUAUCGUAGGCUUGGCUUAGGACACCCCAGGGGUCUGUCAGUUGUUUCUGAUUUGACAUUUGGUAGCACAUAUCUGUCAUAGGCCAUCCUCCUUAAUCCUUAAAUAUGGGUGUAGACAUUCCUGAUUUUGUUAGACUAAGUAGGGUGGAGUAAUCUCAAGUUCACAUUGAACAAUUAGGGACUUUUGCCAUAUAGCUUUAAAAACUGUUUUUUGCACAUAAUAGUAGCUCCAUAUAUGCUUACUGACUGAUUUGAAUAUGAACUCAUGGGUCAUUAUAGUAUUCAAGAUGUAAUACUUUUGUAGGGAUUUGGGCAUUUGGAUUUGGAUUCAGUGGUUUCUUCCUGCAUAUAAUCCUAGUUUUGCUACUUACUUGCAAUGGGUUUCUGGUUAAGCUACCUAACUGUUUUGGUCUCCAGUUUUCCUUUUCUAAUGAAACAAUAAGGUUGGAAAUUACUUAGUACAUGGCUUUAAUGACUUUAGUAUUCCUUCUGUGUUGUUUAGUCUACUAUUUUGGUACAGUGUAGACAGAUUGGUUUUCCGGAGCAUUGUUAAAGAAUUUGCCAUUCUUUUUUUUUAAUAGAGGUAUGUAAUCUUAAUGUAUUGAUCAAAUUCAUUUUCAUAAUUUUCUUAGUCCUUAAAAUUUUUAUAGAAAAUCAGUCUUUUAAACAGUUGCUUUUUUUUUUUUAUAAGCAUGGCAGUCUAGACAUGGGAUGCUUCCCCUCCUCAGUCCCACCUAUAUAGAUGACCUAAAAAGACCCCCCAAAACGAUUCUCAUAAGAAUUAAGGGACUCUACAGUAGGGUGCAGCAUUGAAGAUACAUUGGAUCUGGGCAUUUCCACACUAUAAGGGAGUGAAAAAGCUCCCACCCAAACUUGAGCUGAUUUACCCACCCCCACCCCACC
Molecule: non-coding RNA, 35488 nt
Organism: Monodelphis domestica (gray short-tailed opossum)
Lineage: Eukaryota; Metazoa; Chordata; Mammalia; Didelphimorphia; Didelphidae
Source: RefSeq, a predicted model, not a curated record